This is a microRNA precursor of Monodelphis domestica (gray short-tailed opossum), 63 nucleotides long. NCBI's taxonomy places the organism in Eukaryota, Metazoa, Chordata, Mammalia, Didelphimorphia, Didelphidae. The record is from Ensembl.
CCUGCAGCUCUGAGAUUCUAUGAUUCUGCUAUGAUGUGAUCAUAGAGUGUUAGUGCUGGGAGG